AUUCGGUUUCCUUUUUCGGUGAGAAGAGGGAUUAAAAGGGAAUCCGGUGAAAGUCCGGAACAGUCCCGCUGCUGUAAGCCCCAUUCAGGGAUGGCGGAAAACCACUGUCAGGUUCCAAAACCUGAUGGGAAGGUCGCCAAAACCCGGGGUAAGUCAGAAGACCUGCCAAUUCGAU
Molecule: non-coding RNA, 175 nt
Filed under: bovine gut metagenome
Source: RNAcentral